CAUCAAACAUGUAGACAACUCGUUUAGCCACGCUAAUUGGUGGAGUAAUGUAAUUAGCUAAAAUGUCAAACUGUUGAUUUCACGGGUACAAAAUGAAGGAAAAUGAACUAUAAGAACCGUUACUUUUGGGGUGUUAAACCGGUUCAGAACUUCAUGCUGGUUGGACCACUGGGACAGGACUAAAUAUAUACGGAUUCUGCUCAGAGAAGAACGAUAGGAAACCGUUAACAACCCAAAUAUUAUGAAACGUCCAUUAGAUCCAAUAACGUUCACCUAUCAAAAUAGCAAUUCACUUUUAUCUUUACCAAAUUCGACACUCGUUGCCCCUCAUAACAAACAAAAAAAGAAUACUCACUUGACACGUUGUGUGCUUAACGCUAUAAAUCUAGGCGGAGUCGAACCUCCCGCUUCGCCUCUUUCCUCUCCGCUUGUGUUUAGCGGGUAAAUGUAACCUGGCUACCAUCGACCCUCAAAAUGACGAAAUUACAAUUUCUAAAUGUAUUUUUGACAGAAAAGUUGAUGUUAGCUGCCCAAGAUAUAUAUAAGCAAGUGGAAGAGACCAUAUUAGAAUACCAGGAGGAAAUAUUCCAGGGAAAGCGAGAGAAUGACAAACUGAGACGCAAGCUUCACGAUAAUGGGAUUCCAUGGCCAGACCAAGAGCCCUUUUCUGCUGUAGAAUCUGAGGAGGAGGAGGGAGCCAUUGGGCAUAAGCAGGAACCAGACCUUGGACAGACUUUGGAGAAACAGGAGGGAAGGGCCAGAAGGGAGGAAAAGCUGUUUAGGGGACUGGCCCCGCUGUCUAGAUUCGUUCCUUCUGAUGGAAAUGAUGACUAUGAUCAGAACCCACCUCAACCCACCUCACAUCAGUUCCAAAUACAAACUCACACUGGGAAGACUAUAGAGGGAGGCUUUCUAUCAAGCUCAACAACCUCCAAUCCAAUCAAAACAGAGACUGAUAGAUUGGGCGUCUGUCCAUUGGAUGAACCAUCAAGUGACCCAAAUACUUUCUCUUCAGGGAACCUCGACCUCUCGGCAGCACAGAGUGAGAACAGUGACUAUGAGAACACUGAUGACUUCUGGUGCUGUGCGGUGUGGAAGGAAAGCAAGGAGCAAGUGGAGGGUGUGGUUCCCAGUACCUGGGUGGUGGGCAGGAAGGUCAUUUCGCGUCCAGCCAAUGGCAGGAAAGUCCUGAAAGAAAGACACAAGCCAGGAGCCAAUUGGACAGCAUAUGACCUUAUUAAGGUCAAACUAUUCUCAGAAUCUCUGGAGGAGUGUGAAGGGUACAGUAGGUCCAGUGAUGAGCUGACUGACAACGGAGACAACACGUGAGCCUAACACGCAGAGGAAGACGGGCGAGGGACACAUUACUGGCAGAUACUUCAAGGAGGACCCCAUGGAGAUGAAACACACAGAAAUGUCGAACUCUGGAACCCUGGAGGAAAGUUCUGCAGUUCUAGAAGCAGAACCUUAUCUUGAUCCAUCUGAGAUCAGAGGGCAAGUUAGGUUACCCUAUAUCUACCAGUGUUAUUUCCCAUUGGUUUUCCACACACGUGGUCUAUGUUAGUUUGAGGCGCUGUACACUACAUGACCAAAAGUAUGUGGAACAUCUCAUUCCAAAAUCAUGGGCAUUAAUAUGGAGUGGCAACGCUCGUGCAAGCGGUUGCUCCCGACACCACUUGGGUACACUACAGCAUCCACCGAGAGGCUUUUGCUGCCAAGGGAAUGCCUGGCAACUUGAAAGAUGUUUUGUACGCUACAGUGAAAAUGGUUAACUUUGUUAAAGCAAGGCCCCUGAACUCUCGUGUAUUUUCUGCACUAUGCAAUGAUAUGGGCAGCGACCAUGUAACACUCGUUAUCAAGGGGCAAAAUAUUGACACUUUUUUAAUUUAUUUUUAAAUUGAGAGACCAGCUUAAAGUUUUGACUGACCAUAAUCGUCACUUGUCUGACCGCUUGCAUGAUGACUAGUUUCUCACACGACUGGCCUGUCUAGGUUAUGUUUUUUCCCGCCUGAAUGAUCUGAAUCUAGGGUUACAGGGACUCUCCGCAACUAUAUUCAAUGUGCGGGACAAAAUUGAGGCUAUGAUUAAGAAGUUGGAGCGCUUCUCUGUCUGCAUUAACAAGGACAACACAGGUUUUUCCAUCAUUGUAUGAAUUUAUUUGUGUGUAAAUUAACUCCAGCUUAUGGACAAUGUCAAAUGUGAUAUAGCGAAUAACCUGAGUGAGUUGGGUGCACAAUUACGCAGGUACUUUACCAAAACGGAUGACAAAAAACUAGAUUCGUUAUCCCUUUCAUGCCCUGCCUCCAGUCCACAUGAUAUCUGAAUAAGAGAGCCUCGUCGAAAUUGCAACAAGCAGUUCUGUGAAAAUGUAUCUUAAUCAGAAGCCACUGCCAGAUUUCUGGAUAGGGCUGCACUCAGAGUUUCUUGCCUUGGCAAAUCGCAUUGUUAAGACACUGAUGCCCUUUGCAACCACGUACCUAUGUGAGAGUGGAUUCUCAGCUCUCACUAGCAUGAAAACUAAAUACAGUCACAGACUGUGUGGAAAAUGAUUUUAAGACUGAGCCUCUCACCAAUACAACCCAACAUUGCAGAGUUAUGUGCAUCCUUUCAAGCACACCCUUCACAUUAACCCGUGGUGAGUUAUUCACAAUUUUCGAUGAACAAAUAAGAUUUUGUAUGUAAGAUGGUUAAAUAAAGAGCAAAAUGAUUGAUUAUUAUUAUGUUAUUAUUUGUGCCCGGGCCCUGUAUGAGCUGUUUGUCACUUCCCAUGAGCCGGGUUGUGACUAACUCACACUCAUUCUUAUGUUUAAUAAAUGUAUCGUAUAGUGUGUGUGUGGCAGGCUUACAAUGAUGGCAAAAAACAACAUUUGAGAGUGCGCUGACCCCGGUGCUAGAGGGGGUAUGCAGCUGGAGGUUGAAUGUUUGAAGGGGUUAAAUUGACAAUAUCAAAACAAGAUAAUAUAAAUCAUAAGACAGUUCAUCCCAAAGGUGUUCGAUGGAGUUGAGGUCAGGGCUUUGUGCAGGCCAGUCAAGUUCUUCCAUGGCAAUCUCAGCAAACCAUUUCUGUAUGGACCUAGCUUUGUGCCCAACAAACAGUUAUUGUGCUGACGUAGCUUCCAGAGGCAGUUUGCAACUCGAUGGUGAGUGUUGCAACCGAGGACAGACUAUUUUUAUGCGCUUCAGCACUCGGCAGUCCAGUUCUGUGAGCUUGUGUGGCCUACCACUUCACAGCUGCCUAGAUGUUUCCACUUCACAAUAACAGCACUUACAGUUGACCGUGGAAACUCUAGAAGGGCAGAAAUUUGACCAACUGACUUGUUGGAAAGGUGGCAUUGUAUGACUAUCGCACAUUGAAAGUCACUGAGCUCUUCAGUAAGGUCAUUCUGCAGUCAGUGUUUGUCUAUGGAGAUUGCAAGGCUGUGUGCUCGAUUUUAUACACUUGUCAGCAACGGGUGUGGCUGAAAUAGCUGAAUCCACUCAUUUGAAGGGGUCUCCAGAUACUUUUGUUUAUACAGUUGAAGUCAGAAGUUGACAUACACCUCAGCCAAAUACAUUUCAACUCAGUUUUUCACAAUUCCUGAAAUGUAAUCCUUGUAAAAAAUCACUGUUUUAUGUCAGUUAGGAUCACCACAUUAUUUUAAGAAUGUGAAAUGUCAGAAUAACAAUAGAGAAAAUUAUUUAUUUCAGCUUUUAUUUCUUUCAUCACAUUCCCAGUGGGUCAGAAGUUUACAUACACUCAAUUAGUAUUUGGUAGCAUUGCCUUUAAAUUGUUUAACUUGGGUCAACCGUUUCGGGUAGCCUUCCACAAGCUUCCCACAAUAAGUUGGUUGAAUUUUGGCCCAUUCCUCCUAACAGUGCUGGUGUAACUGAGUCAGGUUUGUAGGCCUCCUUGCUCGCACACACUUUUUCAGUGCUGCUCACAAAUUUUCUGUGGGAUUGAGGUCAGGGCUUUGUGAUGGCCACUCCAAUACCUUGACUUUGUUGUCCUUAAGCCAUUUUGCCACAACUUUGGAAGUAUGCUUGGGGUCAUUGUCCAUUUGGAAGGCCCAUUAGCGACCAAGCUUUAACUUCCUGACUGAUGUCUUGAGAUGUUGCUUCAAUAUAUCCACAUAAUUUUCCAACCUCAUGAUGCCAUCUAUUUUGUGUAGUGCACCAGUCCCUCCUGCAGCAAAGCACCCCCACAACAUGAUGCUGCCACCCCUGUGCUUCACGGUUGGGAUGGUGUUCUUCGGCUUGCAAGUCUCCCCCUUUUUCCUCCAAUCAUAACGAUGGUCAUUAUGGCCAAACAGUUCUAUUUCUGUUUCAUCAGACCAGAGGACAUUUUUCUCCAAAAAGUACGAUCUUUGUCCCCAUGUGCAGUUGCAAACCGUAGUCUGGCUUUUUUAUGGCGGUUUUGGAUCAGUGGCUUCUUCCUUGCUGAGUGGCCUUUCAGGUUAUGUCGAUAUAGGACUUGUUUUACUGUGGAUAUAGAUACUUUUGUACCUGUUAACUCCUGCAUCUUCACAAGGUCCUUUGCUGUUGUUCUGGGAGUGAUUUGCCCUUUUCACACCAAAGUACGUUCAUCUCUAGGAGACAGAACGCAUCUCCUUCCUGAGCGGUAUGACGGCGGCGUGGUCCAAUGGUGUUUAUACUUGAGUACUAUUGUUUGUACAGAUGAACCUGGUACCUUCAGGCGUUUGGAAAUUGCUCCCAAGGAUGAACCAGACUUGUGGAGGUCUACAAUUUUUUUCUGAGGUCUUGGCUGAUUUCUUUUGAUUUUCCCAUGAUGUCAAGCAAAGAAGCACUGAGUUUGAUGCUUGUCCUUGAAAUACAUCCACAGGUCCACCUCCAAUUGACUCAGAUGAUGUCAAUUAGCCUAUCAGAAACUUCUAAAGCCAUGACACAAUUUUCUGUAAUUUUCCAAGCUGUUUUUUAAAGGCACAGUCAACUUAGUGUAUGUAAACUUCUGACCCACUGGAAUUGUGAUACAGUGAAUUAUAAGUGAAAUAAUCUGUAAACAAUUGUUGGAAAAAUUACUUGUCAUGCAUAAAGUAGAUGUCCUAACCGACUUGCCAAAACUAUAGUUUGUUAGCAGAAAUUUGUGCAGUGGUUGAAAAUCGAGUUUUAAUGACUCCAACCUAAGUGUAUGUAAACUUCCAACUUCAACUGUAUGUGUUCUGAUCAGCCUUGUUUGUGUUAUUCAAGCCUUGACGACUCAUUCAACAAGGAGAGCUGCCUCAUAGAGGGUGGACCACACUCUUCUACCUCAUGUAAGACGGGCACAGUCUAAUGGGACUGUGUGACUGUUCCCCAUAUGAGGGGGAUGCAGUUUUUCCUCCCUCACAGUGCAGAGAGGGAGCAUACCUAAGGUAUGUGCUGCUGCUGAAGAAUGUAACCUCGGCACUACCAAUGCCAAAGCAGAUAGAUAAGAAGUGCUGUGGAAUGAAAUGUCCUCCAUAUGAAAAAUACUUUGUGUGUUUUUAGUGGAUGGGAUAUGAUCGGUAAACUUUUGAAUCCAACCCAAAAGUUUUCCUCUUCCAAAUGACGAGUAUAACGUUUAUUUCUUCAAUCUGGUCAGUCACACAGAAAUGCUUAGGGCCUGUGUCACAGAACCACAUUAAGCCUAUUCCAUGUUUAAAAGCCAUUUCCAUUGAGCAUGCUUUGUAACACUGGGAUUCUGCUGAGGGUUCUGGACCUGGAACAGACUUCCAGUUUGAUGUGUGUAGAAUCCUGGAAGAUGUGGCCAACCUAGAGAGAGUUCUAGAGACUCCGGAGGUAGCUGCCCAGAUGGUAUGUGGAUCUGCAGAGGAGCAUUGAAUGACAAACUGGCAUCAAUUAAUUUACCUCCACUUGAAGUUGCUGAUGACCAAUGAACUGAUGAGCAACUUCAACAUGAAAGGAAGGAAAUGGACCAAGAAGAGUUUUCUCACACACUCCCUGAGCAAAAUCUUUAUUGGUAAGAGUACAGAGUAUAUGAGCAGAGUGGAGCGGUCGGAAGUAACUUAUCGCUCACUGAGCCAGCGCUCCACAUCCUUUCUGACCACACCGCAAAAAACGUUCCUCAAACACAGGAAGAGAGAAUUUUCUUUUUAAACCUGCUCAAAAUGUUCUCCAUUCUUUCAAAUCACCAUUUCACCAUUCUUUCAAAUCACCAUUUCACCAACACCCAUCUAUUUUUGUGACUAUCUGGACCUACCAUUUGCUUUUGAAAUAUUGAAACCAAACUGUAUGAUUUCAAUCAAAUAUAUUUUAAUAAACAUAACUGUAAGAAGCGCUUAUUAUUUCAAAUAGGCUACAAGUUGUAUUAAACAACAUCUGAACACUCUAUAAAUAGGUCAGAAGCCAGACAGGAGGUCUAGGAAGGAAUGGAAAUGAAUUAUUUAGGCCAGUGGUUCCCAGACUUUUUUAUGGUCCCGUACCCCUUCAAACAUUCAACCUCCAGCUGCAUACCUCUAGCACCAGGGUCAGUGCACUCUCAAAUGUUGUUUUGCCACCAUUGUAAGCCUGCCACACACUAUACGAUACAUUUAUUAAACAUAAGAAUGAGAAUGAGUUUGUCACAACCCUGCUCGUGGGAAGUGACAAAGGGCUCUUAUAGGACCAGGGCACAAAUAAUAAUAGUCAAUAAUGUUGCUCUUUAUUUAGCCGCCUUACAUAUAAAACCUUAUUUG
Molecule: RNA transcript, 6650 nt
Organism: Oncorhynchus keta (chum salmon)
Lineage: Eukaryota; Metazoa; Chordata; Actinopteri; Salmoniformes; Salmonidae
Gene name: zinc finger protein 287-like
Exons: 8
Source: RefSeq, a predicted model, not a curated record